RNAcentral lists this long non-coding RNA (2900 nucleotides) under Zea mays. Its description in RNAcentral is "long non-coding RNA (ZMAY_LNC003597)". The record is from RNAcentral. Lineage: Eukaryota; Viridiplantae; Streptophyta; Magnoliopsida; Poales; Poaceae.
UUCAACCACCAAAAUUAAUUAGGAACUAGGUGUAAGCCUAAUUCCCUUUCAAUAACCUAUCUUUCUAAUUAUAUUUUUAUGCAUAUAUAUAUUUAGAUGCAAUCAUGGACACUUAUCACACUCAAUCAAAGAACCAAAUCAAACAAGGUUCAUAAGAACAAGCAAGCAAGUGCAUACAUACCUACCAAAAAUAUUUUUUUCUAGGAUUAGGUGUCCUAUUCCUAAGGAUCACUUUAGGUUCAGGAUUCCAAGGUGUGAAAUCCUUUUGGCUUUCAGGAGUGAAAAGGUAAGAUGAAUCAGAGGGUAAGUAGCACAAGAUGAGAAAAGAUAUAGAAAAGAUUAAGGAAAGUUUUAGAAAGAAUCGGAGUAAAGGUAAGUAAGUAGGUAAGGGUUGUCCAGGUCUAUCUAGGUUACAUCCUACAGUCAACAUUGCUCCGAUACCACUUUUGUCACACUCGGAUUUAAGGGCAAACCCGGGCGCGUCUCAAAUGUAUGCUAGGAUCAAGUCUCACACAUAUGAUGACUCAUGGUACAGAAAUCAAUGUCAUAUCUUUAUUAAAUAAUCGGAGUUUCUUUACAAAAUAACUAAAUACAAUACACCAUAUGACGACGAGAUCCUCCACCAUUAAAGUUGACUGGGAGACGAUGGCCUAGAUCUCUCCGAAAUCAUCUUCAUGAUUCUCCUCUGGUGGUACCUGUUCUUAACCUGGGAGUGAUUAUAGCAAGGGUGAGCUCCCAUACGGUCAUCGCUCAGCAAGUGUGGGGAAUAAUGUGCAUGAUCUCACUUACGGUGGGGGCUCAUGUGUAGUGUAAGGCUGAUCAACAAAUAAUGGUUAAGGGUGAGUAUUGCUUUUAAUAAGUUGGUCAAAAUUUUAUUAGCAAUUACUAAGUAUAAGUGAAUACCAACCCAAAAUAAUAGAUCAUAAGUAACAAUAAUAAUGCUUCCCAUAAUGCAAUGCAUGACAGGUUAAGUUUAAUUCCAUAAUUUAAUCAUGCGAGAGUCCUGAGCCGCUCUUGACCGUGAGCACGGCUGAUAUACCAGUUUUACACUCUGCAGAGGUUGCGCAUCUUUACCCACAAGACGUGUUUCCCGUGUAGCCAGGGUUAGCUAGACCCUUAGACACUUCCAAGGUGAAUGGCUAGGGAUCCACUGCGAGGCCUUUACAAAGUUCCACUAGCUUGAGAAAACCCGCUACGGUUUCAGGUAGAGGGGGUAUAGAAAUCCCUCGUCCGAACAGCUAUCACAGACAGUUCGACUCGAGAACCUCCCUAUACUUGCGGCAACUCCUCCCCGCUUGCCCCUUUCGGGUAAGGUAAUCUCUCACUAGCUUUCCUAAUUAAUUGGCCAAGGGCAUCCCAUUAAACCCUUGUGGUAGCACUGUUUUCUCAGGUUAAGCUCCAUGUUCCAAUUAACAAAAUGGUCUUAUUAUGUAUGAGAGUAAGCCAGCAAUAAUAAAUUAUAUUGGAACAUGAUCAUAAUCAUAUAUAGCGUUAAUCCCAAAACCAGGUAGAGCAAUAGCAGAACUACCCAAUAAUUCAUUUAUAUGCAAGGUGUGGGGUAAACAAAACUAGGUAACCUAUUAGGUCCCAUCAGCUUAACCUAACAGUGCGAGCAUUGGUGAGAACAUAACAGCUAACAUUAUUAGGUCAAAGAAUGUGAUCAAGGACACAACUUGCCUUUUUGGGUGCAACUCCAGGUACUUCUCUAAGUUGGGCUUCAGGUUCCUCGUAACCUCACUUCUAUUCGUAGCAAUAUAUACAGAUAGACAAGGAAUAGGUAAAAAUAACAUUACACCAAACAUGAAAACAAACAGUGUAAUAAUAUUCUACGCGUCGCUACAAAACCGUAGGUUCAAGAACCACUAAAAUCGGAGUUAAAACGGAGAAGAUAUGGAUUUUCUAAGUUUUCUAUAAUUAUUCUUAUACUAUAAAUCAACUUCCCACGGUUUAUUCAUUUUUCCGUUUAUUUAUUCCCAUUGAAAUGGCCUGCGGGUUCGAUUUCUAGAGAUGACAGGGUGCUCGGUGUAAAAAUAUGGACCUAUCUGCGAUUACUAUUGACUAGGCAUGGACGGCGGGCUGAUUAUGCAAAAAUGUAGGGACUCUUUAGCAAGUAUACGUGACCGAAGGGGUAUCGCAGUAUAUGGGCCGUUGGAUUCUCGAUCUUCGGCUAGGAUUAGAUUGGAUCACGACAUAGUGCCCCAACAACUACCAACCACAUAUCUGCAGAUCAGCGGCCAACAACUACUGUAUACCAGAGCUGUCCGAUCGGCGAUCUACGCCCACCAUCGCUACUGACCGAAUCGUUACUCAGCUCUUAAUCUCGACCGUUCGUUAGAGAUUCGGUGGUCACGCUAUCUCCUCCUCCUUUACUGCCCUGCGACGACCAGCACGCGGCGGCGCUGUGUGCCGACGGCGGCGCCAUGGCCGCGAUUCCCUGCCCAACACAUCUGAGCCCCUAACCUCGAUUCUAUAGGCGCAUCAUGUGGAGGAGACGAUGGGGAAUUAGGAGGGCAUGAACUCACCGGUGAUUAAGGCCGUGGUGGUGCAGACCACGAGUAGGGCGACUCGGCGGCGAUGAAGCAGCUCCGGUGAGAAAUCUCCCGUACUCCGACCAACUAUUCCACCCGGAAAAUCCACGUAUGUGGGCGGCGUGCACCGGCGACACCUCCCGUGCACGUGGUUGGAGCUAGGCGGCUCGGAGCGUGAAGGUCAACCGCGGCGGCCUUCCCCCCCGCGCUCUCUCUGUCUCUCUCGACCCUCUCGCUCUCGGCAUGCGCGAUGGCGUAGACACGAGACGACUCCGGUGGCGAGGCGGUGGCCAUGUGCGGCCCGUCUAGCCCCGGCGACGUGAUGCGGUGUCUCUCCUCCUCCACUGGCGCUCAAGGACUCGACGGGGUCGG